UGGAAGGCCACUGACUUGCCAGCCUCCAACAGGUCCCACAAGACUUUUUCUGUCCUCUGAUCCUCACAGCAGCAGCUUAGCUGAGGAAAGGUCUCAGAGUGGGCCAGCCAUUCCAUGCACAAACUGCAUCCCUUCCUUGGAGAAGGUCUCUUCAGGUGUGCAGAUCUGCAGCAAGACACCUUUGCGAGAUGUUACCUGUUCAAGAAUUUCACUGGAGCAUGGGAUGCAGAGAAACUGGCAAAAUGUUCUGUCCUCCAUCAUUCAGGGGACCCAUUCUUCUUUUGGCUUCUGCUGCUGGGAGAGCUCUGGCCCAGCAUGUCAGGGGAGGGAGCAGGAUGGACAUAGGCUGCUCAGCAGUGGUGUCACAACUGACCCUUCAGAGAUUUCCCUGAGCUGCAUGACCCUUCCUUGUCCCAUGGGCUUUCUGGAGAUAUGCACGGCUCUGGCUUGCAGUAGAGGCAGGGACUCAUCCAACAACCGUGCUAGACAGCUGGAAGUAUUUCUCUAUGCCUCAGGGCCUCCAGGCAGUUAGGAGCCUUGGGUGGGAAAGGUGGGGUGUUGUAAUCUUCACAUGGAUUUUGAAACACUGACAGGAGAGAACAUCAUCCCAUCAGCCUGACAGGAUAGAGCCUUUUCCAGUAUCUUUCUGGAUAGGAGAUGGCACUUUUCUACAUUUCUAGAAGGACCUGAAUACUGUGAUAGUCAAAUAAUGGAAGUUCUGUUUUUUGCCAUUUCCCAUCACAAACAGAUGUGGCCUCCUUAGGGCACUAUCUAGGGUGGGAUCCAGCACAGGGAGACCACAAACAGGCAGGAUCAGUCGUUUUUGUGAUAGUUUUUGCACAGAAAGAAGUCCUUGGCUGACAGAGCACUUGGGCUUCCGGCUUGUGGUAGAUGUGCUCUGAGGGGGCUGCAUGCUCUCACACGUCCUUUCAGCCCAAGAGAGAGCAGCCUUUCAAGACAGUAUCUAAGAAGAGAUCCAGAAACAUGUUUUCAGCAGUGGGUCCUAACUGUGUUUGAUUGCUCUUGGGAUUUAAAAAAAUUUUUUGUUCAAAUGGAGCUAGAGGCGGAAGACUUGUUUUGCACAUCCUGUUGGAUCUUUCUUUGAUAUUAAAUAGCAAAAGGGAUGAGAACGUUCUCAGCCCUGCAGAAUUAGCCUUGACCUUGUCCUUGAUUGUUUUCCAGACCUCUCAGAUGUCAUGUCUUUGUUUUGUAUGGAAAUCAUGAAGCCAUGCAUAAAAAGGUAAUUCUUCAGCAGCCAAAACUUCCUGCUGGAGGGCAAAGGGAGACACAGUUGAGAAGAGUUUGAAAGGAUGGAAAUAACCCUUGCUCUACCUGCACUUGGCAAAUGGAGAGAUCCAACUGGUCCUUUCUGGAGUGGGUUUUAUGUGGGCAGGACUGUUGGGGAUAUCUGGAGAAAGGCACCCUACUUGAUGGCCAGCUCCUUGAAGCUGCCUGGCUGCUCUCGGUGCUGUGCCAGCAGAAAAAGCUGCUUGUCUCUUUGCUCUGGGGGAACAGGCAGUGAUGCCCUACUGGCUGGGCUCCUGCUUUGCCCUCACACUUGCACUCAGAGCUGGCCCUGGGUUUGUCCUGCUCCCUGUCAGGGCACCACUAUCCAUAUCCCAUCUCUACCUGUGUGUCCCAGCAGCCUCUUUGUAGCUAAUUGCAGCGCUGAGGAUGCAGGAGGUGGAUGCUGUGAGCUUUUCUAUCUGCUUUACAACAUUGCCUUUAAACAGAUUGUCUCUUUGCUCUCUGCCUAUAAGAACGCAGCUCAGGUUUGCUUCCAGAUCUUGCAGGCAGGACAAGACACAAAGCAGAAGCCUGCUGGUGGGGCAGGUACAGGCAGUCUGGGGUGCCUCCUCUGGUGGCCCCCUUGGCAGGAGGGGAGGCUGCUCCGACAGCUGGGGAGCUGCCCUCUGUCACUGCUGUCACACAGCUGUGCACAGAUGUUCAGAAGUGCCUCUUAAGGAGUUGGUGGCUUCAGGAAUGUAGGCUGAAAUUCAAUUUGCAGUGCACACACUGAGGCUGUUUGCAGCCAGCUAGGAUCUGGGGCAGGAGGACUGUGGUACCAACUGCCAUGCAAAGCCAGCUGGCAUAAAGAAUUAGGGUUGCAUAGCUCAGCUUGAGCCAGGCAGAAAAAUAACCUCAAAGCACCAACUCCUGUAAAAAAAAACGCUAUCAGGAUUCCUGAUGAUGAUCUCUGAGCUGAAAAAUACAGGCACUGACUUGUGGAAGGGACAAAUACCCCUGAGUCUUUCUUAUUAUUAGCUACCAGCAAAUACCUGCUUUGAGAGAUGUGACUGCUGGAAAUACUGCCAAAGUUGCCUCUUUAUAUGGUUUGAAGUCCCUAAUGCUUGUUCCAACAGGGUUGGUGUGUCCAGGUUGUUUUGAUGUUGUCAGUCAAGACUUUCUCUUUGUGUUAUGCUCUUUUCUCUCUUGGUAGAAGCCAAACUCUUAUACUUGCUGAAAUGCAGUGUACCACAAAGCAGCUCUCAGCAGACUUCAGGGGACAAUGUUUUCACUCUCAGGGGAACUGGUGCUGCUUUGUACCUACUUACAAAAACCUCCUGGGGGUAGAAACUCGGGGCUCCUCUGUGUGAAGGUUAAAUUUGCUGGCUUGCCAAGCAGUCUGCUUUAUUUCUCUUCAUCUGAAUGUGUUUUAAUAUUCUGUGGCUCCAUGAAAGUGUUUUUCCAGUACUGGGAACAUGCAGGGCUUUUCCUUAUGACUAUGAGGGCUCACAGGAUCCCUCCCACAGAUGAACAAGCAGAACCAGAAGAGAUUCUUUUACAAGUGACUGUAACCAGCAUUAAAGUUGUCUAAACCCCACCAACAAGGAGAUCCCAGUCACUGGAGCUGUGCUGUCCCCUAAGAGAGGUAUCUUUUUGGCUUCCCAGAAGCCCUGACAGCCUCCCUCAUGGAAGGGGAUUUUUAUUUAGGUGCCACACACCAGCUCUGGGGCACAAAAGAAUGUGGGUGUGAGAUUUCUUGGCUGUCCACAGGGUCUAAAAAACCAGGCUGAUGGAUGUGGGACUAUGAGUGCCAGGCUCUUGCGGAGACUGGCAGCCCCAGGGACAGAUAUAUCGCCCCUCCAAAUUCCUGCCAAUUUACCCUAUCAGUGGUUUUGCUUUGCUGAUGCUUCACUGUUCCAUAAAGGUUCAUGUGUGCUGCAACAAAGAAGUGCCAGGUUCCCACAGGUCAAUUUCAAAACAAGAAACAUGAAUCACAUCUGUUGGCUCAUUCCAUCCAAAUUCAGCUGUUGAGGCUUUGCCUGAAAUAUCAUAGUUUUGUGGGUGGCUUGUUUUAUUUUUUUAAUCCACUACCAGAGUAGAGCAAAAACAGGAGUUUGGAAAAAAAAAAAAAAAAAAAAGCUGUGGGAAAUGGCAGACUGCUGUUAUCACUGAGAUUAGCUCAUCUUCUCCUGAUACAGCUGCCUUAAGUACAAAGGCCCCCAACUCUAGACACCACAAAAACAUAGUUCAUAUAGUUCAUAGCCAGACAAAUUUUGCAAGAAAGUCUUCUAGAUUUGUUAACAAGAGGCUAAGAUUGCUUUAGUUCUUUCCUCCCAUUCUCCCUUUUGUGGCUUUUAAGGGACUUAGAAGAAUAUACACUUAAUUAGUGGUUUUGUCUUUGCUAGGGAAAGAUUAGAAAAAUUUUUGCUAAGUUAUCUUGGUUGGAAAUGAACAGAGUUCCCUGAUUCUCCUGGAAAUCUGGUUUGAGUUUCUUCACCAAUUGGAAGCAGGGGUCUUGCAGCAGUGGCCUGCUACCUGCUGGCUUCCACUGCAAAGGAAAACGUUGCAUUUGUAGGUGGAUCUUUCCAGCAUUGUUGUGCUACAUCCUGAGAGUCUGUGGCAGAGCACUGUGGGGUGGAUCCCAUCAGGGCCCACAGACUUGUGAGUGUCCACCUGGCACAGCAGGUCACUAAUCAUUUCCUCAUGGAUUAUGGAGGCUUUGCUUAUCUCCCCAUCACCAACUUCAGCUCUGAGAGCUGGGUCUCCUGAGGACAACUGGUCUUGAUAUUUAAGACAAAGAAGGCAUUAAGUACCUCUGCCUUUUUCUUAUCCUCUGUCACUACACUCCCCUCUGCAUUCAACCAAUGAUGAGGACACUCCUUGACCCUCCUUUUGCUGGCAAUGUAUUUAUUGAAACUUAUUUUGUUGUCUUUAACUGUAGCAGUCAAAUAAAAUUCUAGUUGGGCUUUACCUUUCUAAUUUUCUCCCUACAUGACCUCACAACAUCUUUAUAGUCCUCCCACGUUACCUGACCCUUCAUCCAGAGAUGAUAGAUUCUCCUUUUUUUUUUUCCUGAAUUCCAGCCUAAGUUCUCUGUUUAAUGAGGCUGGUCUUUUUCCCUGGUCUUUCUACACUUGGGGACAGUUGGCUCUUGAAUAUUUAACAAUUCCUUUUUUAAUACAUAUCCAGCCUUCCUGGUCUCUGUUGUGUUUCGUGACUGACUCCUCAACACUGCUGUUCAUUGCUCUCAGUGUUCAAAAAUACUGGUGAUUUAAAAUUCAUGUGUAACUUUGGGGGCUUCCACUGUUGUAGCACAGGUCAUAAAUUCCUCCUUAAAAGGCAUUCCACUAUUUGAAAAGGUUUUGGUUCAUUGGAGCUUGGAUUUUUAUGGUUACUGUGCUAAAAGCUACUAUGGAAGUUGUUUAAUAUAUUACUUGUCAGUGUCCUAGAGAGUGACAGUAUGCCAGGGACUAUGCAAAACCUUCACUGCUCAGGAGGAUACUGUAUUUCACCUGUGUCUUCAUUCUCAGUCAUCACAGCAUACCCAAAUUCACUAGGAAGGACUGACUACUGAUCAGCAAAUUCCACCGUGUUUGUUUUUUCUGUUGCUGGAAAGGCAUGCCGUGCUUUAAAAAAAUGUGUUUAAUCCUUUGUUGGGCUGAGGUUGACUGAGGUUAGAACUAAAUAGGAGAUUACCACAUAACAAGUCUAAUCAGGUUGGAUUUUUGAAAGCCCUGCUUGCUUUUCCAUGCAUAAAUUCUGCCAUGCUUUUUUUCUGUCUCUGUUUUCACAUUCUUUCCAGGCUUUAGCUCAUGGAAGUAGAUGAUCUUUAAGGUCCCUUUCAACCAGCACCAUUCUAUGAUUCUAUGGUACGAAGGUCAUGCACAAGGUCUCUGAAGGCAGCAUUCCCAAACCACGGUAAAACAGCAGGGCUGGGAUUUCCAGUGGCAGCGGUGUACACCGUGAUGGGCUCAGUGCUGUGGAAAGCAGGAAUUGCUCCAUGGCACAGUGAUGGUGGCCCAGGGCCCUUCCUCACUGAGCUGCCUCAGGCUCAAGUGUGCAGGGCUUGGGGCAAAGCUGUAUUUGUGUUCGCAGCAUUUCCAGGGACUGCUGAAGGCUGAGGGAGAGCAUCCAAAUAGACACAGCACCAACACGUGCUUCCUUCUGUGGCUCCUUAGUCUCUUCAAAGACAGGCUACAGGAGGACAAGAAGUGCCCUCAGAAGGGGUAACAGAGGAGGCUUGUACAUUUGGCAGAAAGCUGCAGGCGACUUUGGGAUGGGGAACGCUGGGAGCUGCCUGCACUUCCUGUCUGCUGCCUCCUCUCACAGGGCACUGACCUGGGAGGGACCAGCUGGGGCCAUACCAGCUAGCAUGACUGGAUGUUGCUUAUGGAAGGUUUCCCUUUUUCCAUAUAAAGUAAUUUUGAAGGGAAAGGACUCUACCAGCACUUUGGUGGAGUUUAUUUUCAUAUUUGCAAUAGCUUGUGAGAAUGAACAAUGUUCAGCUUUUGCUUGGCUUGUCCUCUCGGGGAGUGUUCCCAGCCUGUGUGUGGCCUGGGGCUGUGGCAGGGCAGUGCAGUGAGCAGGAGGGCUGCCUGGCACCCACGUGUGCUUCAGCCUGUGAUACAUGUGUCCUGGUCUGGGCAUCCAUGCACCCCAAGCACCAGGACGUAGCCCACGGUGAUUGAUGUCCAGCUGAAUUUUGCCUUUAGUCACAUACCUGGAGGCCCCUUGAUUUUAGCAAAAAGUUACUGCUCUGCUUGCUGUGUGGUUUUUAUUUGAUUGUGUGUGCGAACAGCCAAGGAAGAUUGGUGAGGAGCUGCUAACCCUCAGCUGUGAGUGACCAUCCAGGAAUCAGUGAGGAACAGGGGUGGGCUGGGAGAUGCCAGGUCUCUGCCAGCUGAGCCUGGGCACAGAAGGGUGCCUGGUGUAGGAGGGCUGUCAGGAACAGAGGCCAAAUAAUAUCCUCAUCGAGGACACCACAGGCUCUGCUGUGCACAUUGCUGUGGCAGAAAAGCAUCUACAUAUAACAAUGGGAGCUCCUUUCCAGCUGCUAUUUUUGACAUAACAGAGGCUGUCAGUUCCCUGCAAGCUGCAGAAAAAGUGUUUUCAGCCUCUGUCCUAGGGUGAAUGAGCUCUAGGGCUCUGUAAGAAGCGCCUUCCUGGGCCAGGGAGAGCUAUUUGUUUUACAAACAAUGGGCAGAGCACAGAGGAAAUGCUCGAAGUGCCUGUGGAGAGCAGCUGCUCUCCAUCAGCAGCCUGGGCUGUCAUCUUGGUUAAGGAGCUCACGUGCAGUCAGGGAGCAUCUGUACAUCCACAGUGUCCCCGGCAGGACAGCGGGGACCACUCAGCCACCUUGAUGGCGGUGACCAUUUUUAUGGGCAGGUGCAGCCCUCAGGUCCUCAGGCUGAAGGAAGCUGAGGGAGAAGCCAUCCCUCUGUGGGCAGUGCUGCCAGCAGAGCAGCAAGACCUCCGAGGUGCAGGCUAUAGGAUGAUGGCAGGGGGACUCCUUUGCUGGCAAGAAUCAAGACAUCUGCUCUGUACAUGUGCGCUUGUUUCCAGUCCCAGCUUUGCUCCCUUCACAAGAACUCCUGAAGCUAGAGGGGCACUUGGAGGAGGGAAUGUCCUUAUGUCUUCUGAAGUGCAUGCAAGGCUAUGCCAUCCUCUGUCUCUCCUGCUGUGUCAAGUUGCCAUAUCUGUCAAUCUCUGUCCACUUUGAGGGCUGAGCAGGAGUGGGACCAGCACAGGCAGCAAGAAGGGUGACUGCCAUGUACCUGGGUGUCAGCUCACUGUGGUGAGGGUUUUGCUACUGCUGUGGCCAGUUGUGUUUUGAUGUUAAAUCUGAUGACUUCUUGGCCUUUCUCAUUUAUUUUUAGUGGCGGAAGAAGCCCAGCUCUAGAGUUUUGGCUGUAUGGAUUUAGAGUGAAAUGUUCAGAGAGAGCACAGUGACUUUUCCCAUGACACUUGCUGCAUCUCUCAGGAUGUGUAUUCCCUCCUGGCCUCAGAGCUGUGUCAGACACAGGCAGAGGCAUGUGGAUACUUUCAGCUCAUUUUACAGCCAAAUGUAGAACGUCAUGUUCUGCCUGGUUGGAUCAGGAUGUACAUCCCAAGCUCAGGAUAAGUUUGUAACAGCCAAGCUCUCACUGUGCUGUGACUGCUGUGACAAGCCAGCCUGGGCUUUGCUGUGAAGCUGUUCAGGCAGUUCCCCUUUCCAAGAAGGUAAACAAUUUCUCCUCACCUAGGAGGUGGGUAAAAUUGCUUGUCUCUUUUUCCCUGACAGCAAUUGCUGCUGAAAAAUCAUGAUGUGACAUAUUCAUCCUGGCAGGGUGAAUAAACACCUCUGGGCAAGUGGGUGCCUGAACCGUUGGCACAGGGGGAAACUUGGCAGUAAUCAAGACUGAGACACCUCAGGCAGUGGAUUUAGUGGUGUGCUGAAUGCUGCCAGUUCCCAGCCAGGAGAGAAUUGAGCCAGAUCCUGGAAGAGCACAGCAAUGCCUUAACAUCCACCUGGCUCUUAAUGUAAGUAAGAGUCAUGAUCUCUCAUUUUCUGUGGUGAGAGGUGGCGAUCUAUCAUUGGCACUUGUGUUUUUCCUGCCUCAUGGAAGAACCCCAGUGAUAGGAUGGUGUCCUACAGGGACAGACAUAGCCCUGGCAGCUGGGGACAAGUCCCAAGCUCUGCUUUAGGAAAGCAAAUUUGCAUGUGGAGGGCUGGACGACAGAAUAACAGCAGCAGCAGCAGGCUUUGCUGGGUGCAUAACUGCUGGAGGUCCCACAUAGAGCGCAGAUCCAGCCGAGCUGCGUGGGGACAUUGUGUCCCAUCACAGCUUCCAAGCACCUUAUUGUCCCUAUUGUUUAAGGGACACCAGAAAAAAGAACAGCUAGGCUGUGCAGGAAAUGCUGCACUGGGUAAGGGGAGCAGAGUGCAUGACCUGAGAUGGCCCCGUCCUGCAGAUAGCAAUGGGCUGGCCACUGUAGGGUACUCAGGGGAGGAAACCUUCAGCAGGGUGUUGAAAUGCUGCUUAAAUCCCCUGCUCAGCCGAGAGACUCAUCUCUGUGCUGAUGAGGAGCACCUGGAUUGUGGUGUCUGCCAGGAAACCAGCCUGUGCUGACUAUUAGGUGUGGUUUCAAGCAUCGCCCACGGCUACACAUAAAACUUUUCUGCUUCUCCACAGCUGCCUCCUGUUAAAAAUCAGAACUGGAAUACUUCUCUAACAGAGAAUGCUGAGUGCAGCCACCCCUAAUCUCCAAGCAGCUUCCCACCAACAAGCUGUGUACAGUCAUUCCUGGAGAGAGAGGUCUUGAAAGAGAAGAGCAAACACUUCUCUGGAUUUGCACCAGCUUCUCAGGAGCAGGGAACCGCCUCAGCAUCUCUUGGGCUAAAAUAGAAGCAUGGCUGAUAUUCUUUGGCUGGUGACACUAGUGUGGAUCUGCCCCCAGAUCAUGAGGAGGAAGAAGACAGCAGUUUUCUGCUGGAAGAUGUUGGUGCAAUGCCAUGCACUUGAAACCUGCACCCCACUGUCUGCAACAGGGCUGCAGAGUAGAGUGUAUAUGCAGGGCUGAAAUCAGUGCAAAUUCAUGACCCCAUAAGGAGCAUCAGGACCCAUAUCUGCCCAUCUUUUAUGGGACUGGGAAUGAGCUGUGUGUGCUCUGUGAGCCAGUAUACCAGGAGCUUCUGACAGGCUGGUUCUGGAGUACCUGUCUGCAUAGGAAAUGCCUUCUCCUGAUGGAAUGUAAUGGGAGGUUUAGUUUCCUGUUACUACCUUCAUCUUCAGAACAGAAGGGGGAAAGCUGUUUGUGGUGUUCUUAGAGCUAUCAAUAACUGGAAAUAAACACUCAUGCUCCUGUGGUCUGCACUUCCUAUUGCAGGGAAUUAAUAGCUGUGUUUAGCAAAACAGCCUUGCUAAAGAGGGAUUGAACAGAAAAGGCUUUCUUCCCUUCCUAGGAUAUGGGUUAUGUCUCCAGCAUUUCCUAGCCUCAGGGAUAAACAUCUCCAGCCAGAUCUGCAAAACAACCCUGAUCCGAUCUGCUUUAGAAGCAACUGGCUAUUUAACCAGGAAUCUGGAUUUCUCUGGAGAAAAACAGAGCUCUGCAUUCACCUUCUCCCUUCCCAGAUCUUGCCCAUGGGGAGAGCUCUGCCACCACAUAGCCAGGCUUCUUUGGCUGAGCACAGCACACAGGUAAAACAGGAACAGCACAACAUGCAAUUCUGCUAGCCCACAUUGAUAUCAUGCCAGGAGAAAUGAUGCUGCAAAGUUGGGCAAGCUCUUCAUGGCACGAUAAGUGGGAUGCACCCUGCCUCCUAGGGGUUCAUUUCCUCCAUGCCAGCUGACUUGGUGAUUGCAUGGUAAGCAGAGCUCAGCCCCUGAGAUAACAGAAUACAAACAGUAUUUCACUUCUAACCUCAACCCUGUGAGGAGGAGGACUCAUCACCUGAACUGCUCAACACUUUUCAUCUGGGGCAAGCGCCCAGUGGUCUGGAUAGCUCAAGGCUGGCUAUAUGUGUCACUUUGGAGAGAGAAGUGUUGUGAAGUGGGAUCUGUCCAGUGAACUUUGCUCCUAGCUUCACCGCAAAACUGUGACUGGCUCCCACUUUAAAGGCAGGUUUGCAGACACCUGGGACUUAAAAGCUUUUCUCCCUUUUGCAGGACCCUCAAUUGUGACUCCUCCUAAGGACAUCUGGAAUGUGACAGGAGCACAAAUCUACCUGAGCUGUGAAGUCAUUGGCAUCCCAACCCCUGUCCUCAUCUGGAACAAGAUAAUUCGAGGACAGUAUGGUGUCCAGAGGAUGGAGCUCCUGCCUGGGGACCGGGAGAACUUGGCUAUCCAGACCCGUGGGGGCCCUGAGAAACACGAAGUGACUGGCUGGGUGCUGAUAUCUCCUCUGAGCAAAGAGGAUGCUGGGGAAUAUGA
RNAcentral lists this long non-coding RNA (10137 nucleotides) under Taeniopygia guttata (zebra finch). RNAcentral describes it as "lncRNA (ENSTGUG00000019957.1)". The record is from RNAcentral. Lineage: Eukaryota; Metazoa; Chordata; Aves; Passeriformes; Estrildidae.